GAUGAAGAACGCAGCGAAAUGCGAUAAGUAAUGUGAAUUGCAGAAUUCAGUGAAUCAUCGAAUCUUUGAACGCACCUUGCGCCCUUUGGCCAUUCCGAAGGGCAUGCCUGUUUGAGUAUCAUGAACACCACAACUCUCAUGGCUCGCCAUGAUGAGCUUGGAUUUGGGGGUCUUGCUGGCCUGUGGUCGGCUCCUCUCAAAUGGAUCAGCUUGCCAGUGUUUGGUGGCAUCACAGGUGUGAUAACUAUCUGCGCUUGUGGUUUUCCAUCAGAUAACCUUCAGUGAUGGAGGUUCGCUGGAGCUCAUAAACGUCUCCCCUAAGCGGGGACAGCCCUUUGAAUGUUUGAUCUCAAAUCAGGUAGGACUACCCGCUGAACUUAAGCAUAUCAAUAAGCGGAGGA
RNAcentral lists this unclassified non-coding RNA (401 nucleotides) under soil metagenome. RNAcentral describes it as "partial contains 5.8S ribosomal RNA, internal transcribed spacer 2, and large subunit ribosomal RNA". The stretch from base 1 to 121 matches the Rfam family "5.8S ribosomal RNA", at positions 35 to 154 of the family's 154-position model. The record is from RNAcentral.